AUGGAAACAUGGGAGUCAGUUCGGCUGGAUCGGUGACAGGUGCUGCAUGGCUGUCGUCAGCUCGUGUCGUGAGAUGUGGUUAAGUCCCGCAACGAGCGCAACCCUUGUCCUUAGUUGCCAGCAUUCAGUUGGGCACUCUAAGGAGACUGCCGGUGUUAAACCGGAGGAAGGUGGGGAUGACGUCAAGUCCUCAUGGCCCUUAUGUCCAGGGCUACACACGUGCUACAAUGGCCGGUACAAAGGGCUGCAAGACCGUGAGGUUGAGCGAAUCCCAGAAAGCCGGUCUCAGUUCGGAUUGGAGUCUGCAACUCGACUCCAUGAAGUUGGAAUCGCUAGUAAUCGCGGAUCAGCAUGCCCGCGGUCGAAUACGUUCCCGGGCCUU
Molecule: ribosomal RNA, 382 nt
Filed under: uncultured Desulfuromonas sp.
Lineage: Bacteria; Pseudomonadati; Thermodesulfobacteriota; Desulfuromonadia; Desulfuromonadales; Desulfuromonadaceae
Description: bacterial SSU rRNA
Rfam family: Bacterial small subunit ribosomal RNA
Source: RNAcentral